UCCUGCUAGAGGACUGAUCUAAAAGGGCCGAUUGACUGGACUCAAGUUCUCUUCACACCAGAUGGGAAUGAGGUUGAUAAACCAACCACUUGGCUGAUGCAGGGUGCAGGUCUUUAUGCCUUUGUUUGUGGGAGUGGGGAGCUCAUCUCUUCAAGCUACAACCCUGUUCACACACCUGGUGCAAGUGCUUUGUGAUCCUGU
Long non-coding RNA from Notothenia coriiceps (black rockcod), 201 nucleotides. RefSeq lists it as uncharacterized. The transcript is spliced from 3 exons. Lineage: Eukaryota; Metazoa; Chordata; Actinopteri; Perciformes; Nototheniidae. The record is from RefSeq and is a predicted model, not a curated record.